Ictidomys tridecemlineatus (thirteen-lined ground squirrel) is the source of this 119-nucleotide small nucleolar RNA. The record is from Ensembl. NCBI's taxonomy places the organism in Eukaryota, Metazoa, Chordata, Mammalia, Rodentia, Sciuridae.
UUGCACUGUUCGUAACACGUCGGCCUGGUUGUAGCUGGCAGAUUCCAUUUCAGUGCCACAGCAUCUCCAGCAAUACAUAACUGACCAGUGGCUUUCAGUUUCAGGUCUUGGAGUCAGUG